RNAcentral lists this non-coding RNA (165 nucleotides) under uncultured Blautia sp. The record is from RNAcentral. Lineage: Bacteria; Bacillati; Bacillota; Clostridia; Lachnospirales; Lachnospiraceae.
GGUGCCUGCAGAAUGCUUUUUUUGCAGGGUAAAAGGGAAACAGGUGAAAAUCCUGUACGAUCUCGUCACUGUAAGCAGGGAGUGGGAGAGUGAAGUAUAUCCACUGGGCAACCGGGAAGGGGACUCAACCGCAUAGAUCUGUAAGCCAGGAAACCUGCCUGUUGU